Triticum aestivum (bread wheat) is the source of this 916-nucleotide long non-coding RNA. RefSeq lists it as uncharacterized. The transcript has 2 exons. Lineage: Eukaryota; Viridiplantae; Streptophyta; Magnoliopsida; Poales; Poaceae. The record is from RefSeq and is a predicted model, not a curated record.
CCGGCUGUGGAUAUGGGAAAAAGAAAAUCCCUAAAUGUAUCUCUGAAACAAUGGCAUUUUUAAAGUGAAUGAACUAAGACUAGCAGUUCAUUUUAAUUCUGUUGUGGGAAUCUAUUUUGGAACUCAAUUCUGAACACUUUUCAAAGAGAUAGCAGCUGCCACUGUUUCAAGAAUGUACUAAUUCUCUGAAAAUCGCUUUGUUUUUCUGUAGCAAGUUGUCGUAUGAAUUCUGACAGAAAACUGUCAUUUGUUCAAGAAGGAAUUAUUUUCUGAAUCUUUUUUUGUAUUUCUGUAGCAAUUUAUUGUAUGAAUUCUGAACACUGUGCAAGGAAAUCAGCAGCUGCCAUUGUUCAGAGAAUGAGCUAAAUCUCUGAAAAUCGCUUUUGUUUUUCUGUAGCAAGUUAAUGUAUGAAAACUGAAUAUUGUUCAAAGAAAUCAGCAGCUGCCAUUAUUUUUACAUCAGUUUACCCCCUCUUAGUAGAAAGGAACAACUCAUUUCUCUCGCUACUCCUAAUUUUUUGUUGUGCUUUUCUGUAGGAGGAGAAAUUCAUCAUCAGAUCACAAGAACCACAGAACAGCAAGGGUGAUAUUCAGGUUGACAUAUUUCCAUAGACAACCUAACCUGUACAGGGAUGAGUAAGAGAUGAAAAACUUCAAUUGAAAGCACCGCAAAGGUGUCUAAGCAAUGAUAGAAAGAAUCCUCAAGAUCCCGGUGCAUUCUUUUUUGCUGUCGAAACUGAAGAAAGAGAGUGCCAGACAACAUCCUGUGUUCAUUUUCUUUUUAAUUUUCUUCCAUGAGAAUCAUGGUUCUGUAAACACAGCAGCAGUUUCAAAAUGGCUCAAAAAGUACAAUGCAUUCUUUGUCAUGUAACAACGUUCCUAAGCUAUUAUUGAAUGAUCACGGUUUUUUUCAACA